RNAcentral lists this ribosomal RNA (512 nucleotides) under uncultured bacterium. RNAcentral's name for it is "bacterial SSU rRNA". It matches the Rfam family "Bacterial small subunit ribosomal RNA", at positions 36 to 518 of the family's 1533-position model. The record is from RNAcentral.
CUGGCGGCGUGCCUAAUACAUGCAAGUCGAACGGUCUUUCUAUGGAAGCUUGCUUCCACUGAGAAGAUAGUGGCGAACGGGUGAGUAACACGUGGGGUAACCUGCCCAUAAGAGGGGGGAUAACAUCCGGAAACGGGUGCUAAUACCGCAUAGUUUUCUUGAUCGCAUGAUUGAGAAAGGAAAGACGGCCUUUGUGCUGUCGCUUAUGGAUGGACCCGCGGCGUAUUAGUUAGUUGGUGAGGUAACGGCUCACCAAGGCGAUGAUACGUAGCCGACCUGAGAGGGUGAUCGGCCACAUUGGGACUGAGACACGGCCCAAACUCCUACGGGAGGCAGCAGUAGGGAAUCUUCCGCAAUGGACGAAAGUCUGACGGAGCAACGCCGCGUGAGUGAAGAAAAGGUUUUCGGAUCGUAAAACUCUGUUGUCAGAGAAGAACAAGUUGGAGAGUAACUGCUCCAGCCUUGACGGUAUCUGACCAGAAAGCCACGGCUAACUACGUGCCAGCCGCUGC